This 429-nucleotide ribosomal RNA is filed under the name bacterium. Its description in RNAcentral is "partial 16S ribosomal RNA". It matches the Rfam family "Bacterial small subunit ribosomal RNA", at positions 355 to 776 of the family's 1533-position model. The record is from RNAcentral.
UAGGGAAUCUUCGGCAAUGGGGGCAACCCUGACCGAGCAACGCCGCGUGAGUGAAGAAGGUUGUUUUAUCGUAAAGCUCUGUGUGAAGAGAAGUACGAGUGUGAGAGUGGAAAGUUCACACAGUGACGGUAACUUACCAGAAAGUGCAGGCUAACUACGUGCCAGCAGCCGCGGUAAUACGUAGGUCCCGAGCGUUGUCCGGAUUUAUUGGGCGUAAAGCGAGCGCAGGCGGUUUAAUAAGUCUGAAGUUAAAGGCAGUGGCUUAACCAUUGUUCGCUUUGGAAACUGUUAAACUUGAGUGCAGAAAGGGAGAGUGGAAUUCCAUGUGUAGCGGUGAAAUGCGUAGAUAUGUGGAGGAACACCGGUGGCGAAAGCGGCUCUCUGGUCUGUAACUGACGCUGAGGCUCGAAAGCGUGGGGAGCAAACAGG